This 69-nucleotide transfer RNA is filed under the name Diversibipalium mayottensis. RNAcentral describes it as "tRNA-Pro". The record is from RNAcentral. Lineage: Eukaryota; Metazoa; Platyhelminthes; Tricladida; Geoplanidae.
CUAAAAAUGGUUUAAAAAAAAUAUAGGCUUUGGGGGCUUGCGUUCACUUAAGAAGAGGGUGUUUUUUGA